AGCAGAGGUGAGUGCGAGCACAAUUGUAUUGUGGUCGGUCAUCUUACACGUCCCGCUUGUGCUUUACAGCGGCACCCGAGGCGGCCAGAUUUCGGAUUACCGCGGCCGCGUCGUGCUUGACAGGGACGAGUGUGCGAGGCCCAUAGUUCGGGUGGUCUGAAUCGGUGAGCCCUGCUCCAGCUGCUACUGGUGUGGCUGAAGAGGAUGUGGCCCAGGAUCUUUCCCGUGCCCCAACUCCUCAUGCCGCAGCUGCGAGAUGGGGGCAACCGGCAGGCCGAGGCGCUGGAGUUACUAGCCGCAAACACCAGGCGGCAGGGCCAGGC
Long non-coding RNA from Rhipicephalus sanguineus (brown dog tick), 323 nucleotides. RefSeq lists it as uncharacterized. Lineage: Eukaryota; Metazoa; Arthropoda; Arachnida; Ixodida; Ixodidae. The record is from RefSeq and is a predicted model, not a curated record. The transcript has 3 exons.